AGGCACCUUUCCUAGAAAGCUGAAAAGCAGCUCAGUUAGAUUUCCUCUCUGCUGUUUUCACGGAGUGGGCUUGAAAACCUAGAUUCAAGUUACUCAGUUAAUCAAUCGCAGCUGUGUAAUAGUAUCCCACAAAAGGAAGUAUAGUAUGUAUGUGCUAUUUGGAAUUUCUGGAACUUCUCAAAGGGUUUUGUUUUUGAAUUUUUGAGACAGGGUAUUUCAGUGUUACCCUGAAACUACGAGUCCCAGACUAGCUAUGUAUUUGAGGGCAAUUCUAUCUCCUUCCUUAGCCAUCAGGCACAGUAAUUUCCCUAUGUAAUCCUUGGCUGCCCUCCAACUCCAAUUUAUAAUUCUGUUUCAGCCUCAAAGCGUUGAAACGACAGGUGUUGCCUACCAUGGGUUGCUCUGAAAGUGUUUGUCUGUUUGUUUGUGUUUGUGUUUUUGCUUUAUUUGAUUUGGCAGCUAGGUAUGCUUUUAUGGAAUUGAAAGCAAAAAUAGAGCUGCGGCCUUGAAUUAAUUUUCAAAGGCUUUGGAGAAAUAAUGAAAGUGUUUUGGUUGUAUUCAUAAUUUAAAAUAGUUUCAUAGUAAGAGAGGUAUUUGGUAGCAGAAGAUAAAACUAAAGAAAAAAAAAAUCUGAAAAAACUAAGUGAGACCCGAGUCUCCCUUUAGGCAGUAAGGGUGGGCCUGACUUCCAGCGUAUAUCUUGACUAUUUAUCAUCCUUCUAGGAGCUAAAGAACCAAAGGAUAGGUUGAUGCCGCUGUCUCAGGAUUCCGUUGUUUUAUUUUAAGAUUUAUUUGUUGCUUUUUAAAUUUUAUUUGUUUUUAAGAUUUAUUUAUUUAUUUAUUUAUUUGUGGUUUUAUGUAUGAGUGCUCUAUCUGCAUGCCAGAAGAGGGCACCAGAUCCCAUUAUAGAUGGUUGUGAGGCACCAUGUGGUUGCUAGGAGUUGAACUCAGUACCUCUGGAAGAAAAGCCAGUGAGCAUUUGACUGCUGAGACAUCUCCCCAGUCCUGAGGAUUCCUUCUAAAAGGACACAGAAAAGGGAACUAGGCCAGACAACUGUGAUAGGUUUUUUGUUUGUUUGUUUGUUUUGUUUGUUUUUUCUCUGCUACUGGUGAAAUGAAUCAAUUCAAGCCAGAAUGAGAUUAUAUUAAGUGCAGGAUCAUUGGGAAGCUGCUCUCUGGUAGGCUCACGGGCCCCAAGGACAGAAGCCAGAGAGGAAGGAAGAGAAUUGUACAUAUUCUCUGCUUACUCCUUUUUGAGUUUCCUUCCCAUUUGAGGGUAUGAGAAAUGGCUUGAGAUGACUUUGGCAAACUUUGGUCUUCAGGUACUCUCGCUCCAUUAAGCUCACCAAGAGCUAAGAAAGGCUCUGUAGCUCUCAAAGCAAUCAGUACCACUAACCUAACCUGUUUUGUAUCACUAGUUUUAAGUGUCUUUCUGCUAAAGCUCAAUGUUGCUAGUAGAUUUCCUAUAGAUACACAUAUGCCAUCCCUAGCCGUGAUGCUGAUGAUUGCCCAAGUCGUUUUCCAGAUUUUGAGGUUGGAAGCUGGUUUUGUUUUGUUCAAAGAGUGACCUUCUGUCUAAUAUGAGGCCUGAACUCUCAGCUGUUAGCCCCCCCCCCAACAAAGUCAGGUAUUAAGGACAAACUCUCCCCCCACCCCCACCCCCAGACAGGGUUUCUUUGUGUAGCCCUGGCUGUCCUGGAAUUUACUCUGUAGAUCAGGCUGGCCUUGAACUCAGAAAUCUACCUGCCUUUGCCUCCCAAGUGCUGGGAUUAAAGGCACGUGCCACCACUGCCCAGCAAGGACAAACUCUUAUAUUAAUAAACCUUCGAAGUAUUUUUCCUUAGCACCCUGUAUUAGUCAGGAUUCUCUAUAGUCACAGAAUUUAUGGGUAGUCUCUAUAGUGAAGAAAUUUGUUAUGAUAACUUACAGUUUGUAGUCCAACUCAGCACUUCUGUGAAUGGGAAGUCCAAGGAUUUAGUAGUUGCUCAAUCCCACAAGAAGAACACCAUGCCAAGAUCCAGAUCAGAAACUUCUAUCUCCCAGCCUCAAGGUCUAGAUCACAGCAGGUGCAUGCCCAAUACUCAUGAAGAUCAGAAGAAGGCAUUCUAUGGGUCUGAAAAUUGCCGAAAGAAGACUCCAGGCUCAGAUAGUCUUCAGAAACAACCAGCGUGUGAGGGGUUGGGAGUGUCAACCAUUCUUUGAAAUGUUGACCCCCAGACAAAGGUGCACAAGCCUUCUUAUAGGGAACCAGGAACUCUCUAGAGGAACUAGCAUCAGAUCCCCUGAUAUUGGAGUUAUGAGUUAUAAGUGAUUAUGAGCCACCAUGUGGAUGCUAAGAAUUGAAUCCAGGUCCUCUGUAAGAACAGGCGACCCCUCUGAAAGGGUCGUUUGACCCGAGAAGGGGUCAUAGAGCUGCUGUGCUAGGUGAGAAAUUUUUCCUGAUGCAGCUGACUGUGAAGUUGAUCUGAAGAUAUUUAGAGGACAAAUUUAUCAAGUUCACCUUUGGAAACUUAUGUAGUAUUGUGUAAAACAGUUUAUCCCCAUUAAAUUAUAUCACCAGUAUUUUUAGCUUAUUUUUAAAAAUAAUUUAUUUUUAAUUUUCAAUAAAUACUUGCUACAUAGUC
Molecule: long non-coding RNA, 2624 nt
Filed under: Mus caroli (Ryukyu mouse)
Lineage: Eukaryota; Metazoa; Chordata; Mammalia; Rodentia; Muridae
Description: lncRNA (MGP_CAROLIEiJ_G0004323.1)
Source: RNAcentral